AUUGAACGCUGGCGGCAUGCUUUACACAUGCAAGUCGAACGGUAACAGGCCGCAAGGUGCUGACGAGUGGCGAACGGGUGAGUAAUGCAUCGGAACGUGCCCAGUCGUGGGGGAUAACGCAGCGAAAGUUGCGCUAAUACCGCAUACGAUCUAUGGAUGAAAGCGGGGGACCGAAAGGCCUCGCGCGAUUGGAGCGGCCGAUGUCAGAUUAGGUAGUUGGUGGGGUAAAGGCUCACCAAGCCAACGAUCUGUAGCUGGUCUGAGAGGACGACCAGCCACACUGGGACUGAGACACGGCCCAGACUCCUACGGGAGGCAGCAGUGGGGAAUUUUGGACAAUGGGCGCAAGCCUGAUCCAGCAAUGCCGCGUGCAGGAAGAAGGCCUUCGGGUUGUAAACUGCUUUUGUACGGAACGAAACGGUUCUCUCUAAUACAGGGAGCUAAUGACGGUACCGUAAGAAUAAGCACCGGCUAACUACGUG
This 482-nucleotide ribosomal RNA is filed under the name uncultured bacterium. RNAcentral's name for it is "bacterial SSU rRNA". It matches the Rfam family "Bacterial small subunit ribosomal RNA", at positions 30 to 507 of the family's 1533-position model. The record is from RNAcentral.